AUUGAACGCUGGCGGCAUGCCUUACACAUGCAAGUCGAACGGCAGCGCGGGGCAACCUGGCGGCGAGUGGCGAACGGGUGAGUAACAUAUCGGAACAUACCCUAGAGUGGGGAUAACGUAGCGAAAGUUACGCUAAUACCGCAUACGCACUAAGGUGGAAAGUGGGGGAUCUUCGGACCUCAUGCUCAUGGAGUGGCCGAUAUCUGAUUAGCUAGUUGGUGAGGUAAAGGCUCACCAAGGCGACGAUCAGUAGCUGGUUUGAGAGAACGACCAGCCACACUGGAACUGAGACACGGUCCAGACUCCUACGGGAGGCAGCAGUGGGGAAUUUUGGACAAUGGGGGCAACCCUGAUCCAGCAAUGCCGCGUGAGUGAAGAAGGCC
This 383-nucleotide ribosomal RNA is filed under the name uncultured bacterium. RNAcentral's name for it is "bacterial SSU rRNA". It matches the Rfam family "Bacterial small subunit ribosomal RNA", at positions 30 to 416 of the family's 1533-position model. The record is from RNAcentral.